UACGGAGGGUGCGAGCGUUGUCCGGAAUCACUGGGCGUAAAGGGCGCGUAGGUGGCCCCUUAAGUGUGUGGUGAAAGCCCGGGGCUCAACCCCGGGUCGGCCAUGCAAACUGGGGGGCUUGAGCAUUGUAGAGGCAGGCGGAAUUCCGGGUGUAGCGGUGGAAUGCGUAGAGAUCCGGAAGAACACCGGUGGCGAAGGCGGCCUGCUGGGCAGUUUUGCUGACACUGAGGCGCGACAGCGUGGGGAGCAAACAGG
Molecule: ribosomal RNA, 255 nt
Filed under: uncultured bacterium
Lineage: Bacteria
Description: partial 16S ribosomal RNA
Rfam family: Bacterial small subunit ribosomal RNA
Source: RNAcentral